RNAcentral lists this ribosomal RNA (253 nucleotides) under uncultured bacterium. Its description in RNAcentral is "partial 16S ribosomal RNA". It matches the Rfam family "Bacterial small subunit ribosomal RNA", at positions 524 to 776 of the family's 1533-position model. The record is from RNAcentral.
UACGUAGGGAGCAAGCGUUGUCCGGAAUCAUUGGGCGUAAAGCGCGCGUAGGCGGCCCUGUAAGUCCGUUGUGAAAGUCAAAGGCUCAACCUUUGAAAGCCGAUGGAUACUGCAGGGCUAGAGUCCGGAAGAGGCGAGUGGAAUUCCUGGUGUAGCGGUGAAAUGCGUAGAUAUUGGGAGGAACACCAGUGGCGAAGGCGGCUCACUGGACCGGAACUGACGCUGAGGCGCGAAAGCGUGGGGAGCAAACAGG